UACGGAGGAUGCAAGCGUUAUCCUGAAUUAUUGGGCGUAAAGCGUCCGCAGGUGGCACUUCAAGUCUGUCGUCAAAGACCGGGGCUUAACCCUGGAAAGGCGAUGGAAACUGAAAGGCUAGAGAGAGGUAGGGGUAGAGGGAAUUCCCAGUGUAGCGGUGAAAUGCGUAGAGAUUGGGAAGAACAUCGGUGGCGAAAGCGCUCUACUGGACCUCAUCUGACACUCAGGGACGAAAGCUAGGGGAGCGAAUGGG
This 253-nucleotide ribosomal RNA is filed under the name uncultured bacterium. RNAcentral describes it as "partial 16S ribosomal RNA". It matches the Rfam family "Bacterial small subunit ribosomal RNA", at positions 524 to 776 of the family's 1533-position model. The record is from RNAcentral.